UCUAAAGGGACAUCGUCGCACGUCAAGUGAGAUCAGGUCAAGGGACUUUCAACUAAGGAAUUAAGCUCUGAGGUUGAACGUGUACGAGGAGGCGAAGGUGUUGGGAAGUGACUAUUGAAUUAGUAGAUAGGUAGCCCAAAGUAGUAUGUCUCCAUACAUACUAUUUUAUCUUGGACUCUUUCGCUGCAAAUAGAACGAUGUUCAAGGAAUGUAUAAAUUAAAUCUUGAUACUCUGAUUUCAUUUUGAAUAUGUACCCAUUCGCCUUCGAAACUAUUA
This is a long non-coding RNA of Salvia splendens (bonfire salvia), 277 nucleotides long. RefSeq lists it as uncharacterized. The transcript is spliced from 2 exons. The record is from RefSeq and is a predicted model, not a curated record. NCBI's taxonomy places the organism in Eukaryota, Viridiplantae, Streptophyta, Magnoliopsida, Lamiales, Lamiaceae.